CGCCUUAAAGCUAGCACGAACCCCAAAAAUAACAACCACCCAUCAAUAACCUUAUAAAACAUACACAUGUACAACAAACCAUUUUUCCGCCCGAGUAUAGGAGAUAGAAAAGGACCAGACGGAGCAAUAGAUAAAGUACCGCAAGGGAACGCUGAAAGAGAAAUGAAAUAAACCAGGAAAGCCCAGAAAAGCAGAGAUCAACACUCGUACCUUUUGCAUCAUGUUUUAGCCAGUAAUAUUCAAGCAAAGAGAACUAUAGUUUGACACCCCGAAACUAGGUGAGCUACUCCAAGGCAGCCCGUAAAAGGGGCACACCCGUCUCUGUGGCAAAAGAGUGGGAGGACCUUCGAGUAGGGGUGACAGACCUACCGAACCUAGUUAUAGCUGGUUGCCUUAGAAAUGGAUAGAAGUUCAGCCCCAUGCCUUCUCCCUUCCCAAGCGUUAACUCAGCUUGACCAAAAGAAGACAUCGGAGUUAGUCAAAGGAGGUACAGCUCCUUUGAAAAAGAUACAACUUUGCGAGGAGGGUGAAGAUCACAUUAACUCAAGGUAGCAUACCCCGGUGGGCCUAAAAGCAGCCACCCGAAGAGAAAGCGUUAAAGCUCAAGUAUGAACUAAACCUAUUAUUCUGAUAAUACCAUCUAAACCCCCUACCUAUACAAGGCCUUCUCAUACAAUUAUGUGAGUGACUAUGCUAAUAUGAGUAAUAAGAGAACAUCCGGUUCUCUCCCAACACAAGUGUAAAUCGGAUCGGACCCCCCGCCGACUAUUAACGACCCCAACCCAAGAGGGCAUUGAGUAAUAAAUUAAACAACUAGAAGAACACUCAACAACCGACGUUAACCCCACACUGGUGUGCCUGCAAGGAAAGACUGAAAGAGAAGGAAGGAACUCGGCAAGCACAAGCCUCGCCUGUUUACCAAAAACAUCGCCUCUUGCAAAGCUAAAGAAUAAGAGGUCCCGCCUGCCCUGUGACUAUAAGUUUAACGGCCGCGGUAUUUUGACCGUGCGAAGGUAGCGCAAUCACUUGUCUCUUAAAUGGAGACCUGUAUGAAUGGCACGACGAGGGCUUAACUGUCUCCCUUCUCAAGUCAAUGAAAUUGAUCUCCCCGUGCAGAAGCGGGGAUAAACACAUAAGACGAGAAGACCCUAUGGAGCUUUAGACACCAAAGCAGACCAUGUUAAACACCCCUGAUUAUAGGACUAAACUGAUUGGGACCUGCCCUACUGUCUUUGGUUGGGGCGACCGCGGGGAAAAACAAAACCCCCACGUGGAAUGGGAGUACCCCUCCUAAAACUGAGAGCCGCAGCUCUAAGAAUCAGAACUUCUGACCAUAAUGAUCCGGCAAAGCCGAUCAACGGACCGAGUUACCCUAGGGAUAACAGCGCAAUCCCCUUCUAGAGUCCAUAUCGACAAGGGGGUUUACGACCUCGAUGUUGGAUCAGGACAUCCUAAUGGUGCAGCCGCUAUUAAGGGUUCGUUUGUUCAACGAUUAAAGUCCUACGUGAUCUGAGUUCAGACCGGAGUAAUCCAGGUCAGUUUCUAUCUAUGAAACAGCCUUUUUCUAGUACGAAAGGACCGAAAAAGGGAGGCCCAUGCCCAAAGUAAGCCUCACCCCCACCCUCUGAACGCAACUCAAGAGGACAAGGGGGCAUACUAUAGUGCCCCAGAGAAUGGCAU
RNAcentral lists this ribosomal RNA (1680 nucleotides) under Bassozetus zenkevitchi (cusk-eel). RNAcentral's name for it is "16S rRNA". It matches the Rfam family "Bacterial large subunit ribosomal RNA". Lineage: Eukaryota; Metazoa; Chordata; Actinopteri; Ophidiiformes; Ophidiidae. The record is from RNAcentral.